CCUACGGGAGGCAGCAGUGGGGAAUAUUGCACAAUGGGGGAAACCCUGAUGCAGCGACGCCGCGUGAAGGAAGAAGUAUUUCGGUAUGUAAACUUCUAUCAGCAGGGAAGAAAAUGACGGUACCUGACCAAGAAUCCCCGGCUAACUACGUUCCAGCAGCCGCGGUACUACGUAGGGGGCAAGCGUUAUCCGGAUUUACUGGGUGUAAAGGGAGCGUAGGCGGUUUAGCAAGUCAGAAGUGAAAGCCCGGGGCUCAACUCCGGGACUGCUUUUGAAACUGUUGAACUAGAUUGCAGGAGAGGUAAGUGGAAUUCCUAGUGUAGCGGUGAAAUGCGUAGAUAUUAGGAGGAACACCAGUGGCGAAGGCGGCUUACUGGACUGUAAAUGACGCUGAGGCUCGAAAGCGUGGGGAGCAAACAGGAUUAGAUACCCCUGUAGUC
RNAcentral lists this ribosomal RNA (440 nucleotides) under uncultured bacterium. Its description in RNAcentral is "partial 16S ribosomal RNA". It matches the Rfam family "Bacterial small subunit ribosomal RNA", at positions 338 to 795 of the family's 1533-position model. The record is from RNAcentral.